Molecule: ribosomal RNA, 489 nt
Filed under: Echis ocellatus
Lineage: Eukaryota; Metazoa; Chordata; Lepidosauria; Squamata; Viperidae
Description: partial 16S ribosomal RNA
Rfam family: Bacterial large subunit ribosomal RNA
Source: RNAcentral
CAACGCCUGCCCAGUGAAUUAUUAAACGGCCGCGGUAUCCUAACCGUGCAAAGGUAGCAUAAUCAUUUGUCUAUUAAUUGUAGACCUGUAUGAAAGGCACCAUGAGAGCCUAACUGUCUCUUAUAACAAAUCAAUUAAACUGAUCCCCUAGUACAAAAGCUAGAAUUACACCAUAAGACCAGAAGACCCUGUGAAGCUUUAAUUAAACUAUUAAACCCCGUAAUAACUAAUUUUGGUUGGGGCGACCUUGGAAAAAAGAAGAACUUCCAAACAAGCACCUCUCCUGCAUCAAAGGCUAACAAGCCUCAAAUAGACCCAGCACAGCUGAUUGAUGAACCAAGUUACUCCAGGGAUAACAGCGCUAUCUUCUUCAAGAGCCCAUAUCAAAAAGAAGGUUUACGACCUCGAUGUUGGAUCAGGACAUCCUAGUAAUGCAACAGUUACUAAAGGUUCGUUUGUUCAACGAUUAAUAGUCCUACGUGAUCUGAG